CCCGAGACCAGAGUCCCAUCCCGACAGUCCUUGUCCUGGUGCCCGAGGUCCUUGUCCUCGCAGAGAAUCUGCUGGUCUCGAUUCACUGGCGAGGGCAGUCAGUGCCCCCGGGAGUGCCCAGAUCAGAAACAUGC
Molecule: small nucleolar RNA, 134 nt
Organism: Phacochoerus africanus (Common warthog)
Lineage: Eukaryota; Metazoa; Chordata; Mammalia; Artiodactyla; Suidae
Product: small nucleolar RNA SNORA3/SNORA45 family
Exons: 1
Source: RefSeq, a predicted model, not a curated record